Molecule: ribosomal RNA, 464 nt
Filed under: uncultured bacterium
Lineage: Bacteria
Description: bacterial SSU rRNA
Rfam family: Bacterial small subunit ribosomal RNA
Source: RNAcentral
CUACGGGAGGCAGCAGUGAGGAAUUUUGCGCAAUGGGGGAAACCCUGACGCAGCAACGCCGCGUGGGUGAAGAAGGCCUUCGGGUCGUAAAGCCCUGUCAGGUGGGAAGAAAUGGGUGGAGCUCAACAGGCUGUGCCUUUGACGGUACCACCAGAGGAAGCACCGGCUAACUCCGUGCCAGCAGCCGCGGUAAUACGGAGGGUGCAAGCGUUAUUCGGAAUUACUGGGCGUAAAGGGCGUGCAGGCGGGAUGGCAAGUCUGAUGUGAAAGCCCGGGGCUCAACCCCGGAAGGGCAUUGGAAACUGCCGUUCUUGAGUGCCGGAGAGGAAGGGGGAAUUCCCGGUGUAGAGGUGAAAUUCGUAGAGAUCGGGAGGAAUAUCAGUGGCGAAGGCGCCCUUCUGGACGGUUACUGACGCUGAGACGCGAAAGCGUGGGGAGCAAACAGGAUUAGAUACCCCGGUAGC